This 868-nucleotide ribosomal RNA is filed under the name uncultured bacterium. Its description in RNAcentral is "bacterial SSU rRNA". It matches the Rfam family "Bacterial small subunit ribosomal RNA", at positions 1 to 859 of the family's 1533-position model. The record is from RNAcentral.
CUCGCCCUUAGAGUUUGAUCCUGGCUCAGGAUGAACGCUAGCUACAGGCUUAACACAUGCAAGUCGAGGGGCAGCGGGAUUGAAGCUUGCUUCAAUUGCCGGCGACCGGCGCACGGGUGAGUAACGCGUAUCCAACCUUCCGUACACUCAGGGAUAGCCUUUCGAAAGAAAGAUUAAUACCUGAUGGUAUGAUGAGAUUGCAUGAUAGCAUCAUUAAAGAUUUAUCGGUGUACGAUGGGGAUGCGUUCCAUUAGGUAGUAGGCGGGGUAACGGCCCACCUAGCCAACGAUGGAUAGGGGUUCUGAGAGGAAGGUCCCCCACAUUGGAACUGAGACACGGUCCAAACUCCUACGGGAGGCAGCAGUGAGGAAUAUUGGUCAAUGGACGAGAGUCUGAACCAGCCAAGUAGCGUGAAGGAUGAAGGUCCUACGGAUUGUAAACUUCUUUUAUAAGGGAAUAAACCCUCCCACGUGUGGGAGCUUGUAUGUACCUUAUGAAUAAGCAUCGGCUAACUCCGUGCCAGCAGCCGCGGUAAUACGGAGGAUGCGAGCGUUAUCCGGAUUUAUUGGGUUUAAAGGGAGCGCAGACGGGUCGUUAAGUCAGCUGUGAAAGUUUGGGGCUCAACCUUAAAAUUGCAGUUGAUACUGGCGUCCUUGAGUGCGGUUGAGGUGUGCGGAAUUCGUGGUGUAGCGGUGAAAUGCUUAGAUAUCACGAAGAACUCCGAUUGCGAAGGCAGCACACUAAUCCGUAACUGACGUUCAUGCUCGAAAGUGUGGGUAUCAAACAGGAUUAGAUACCCUGGUAGUCCACACGGUAAACGAUGGAUACUCGCUGUUGGCGAUAUACUGUCAGCGGCUUAGCGAAAGCG